UUCUAGAAGCUAGUCAGCUGCUCUCUAAUUCCUGCAUAGGAAUGCCUGGCCCAGAGCAACCUUUGUAAUGGGUCCUUCUCUCAAAGGCAUGGUUGAGACCAGAGAGAGCCAUCCCAUGGGUCACAGCUGGAGAAAAUGGGCCCAUGGCAUCCUGUUCAAGGUGAAGCUUGGGAUGCAUUUUUUCAGGUCUGCUGGAGUUUGCUGGAGGUCCACUGCAGACCCUGUUUGCCUGGGUAUCACCAGCGGAGGGUGCAGAACAGCAAAGAUUGAUGCCUGUUCCUUCCUCUGGAAGCUUCCUCCCAGAGGGGCACCUAUCAGAUGCCAGCCAGAGCUCUCCUCUAUGAGGUGUCUCCCAGACAGGAUACACGGGGGUCAGGGACCCACUUGAGGAGGCAGCCUGUCCCUUAUCAGAGCUCAAACGCCGUGCUGUGAGAUCUGCUGCACUCUUCAGAGCUGUCAGGCAGAGAUGUUUAAGUCUGCUGAAGCUGUGCCCACGGCUGCCCCUUCCCCCAGGUGCUCUGUCCCAGGGAGGUGGGGGUUUUAUGUAUAAGUCCCUGACUGGGGCUGCUGCCUCAUCUUCAGAGAUGCCCUGCCCAGGAAAGAGGAAAUCUACAGAGGCAGUAUGGCUGUAGCAGCCUGGCUGAGCUGCAGUGGGCUCCACCCAGUUCGAACUUCCGGGCAGCUUUGUUUACACUGUGAGGGUAAAACCGCCUACUCAAGCCUCAGCAGUGACAGGCGCCCCUCCCCCAACCAAGCAGGUGAUUUCUGCGUUUCCAACUGAGGUACCUGGUUCAUCUCAUUGGGACUGGUUGGACAGUGGGUGCAGCCCACGGAGGGCGAGCAGAAGUAGGGUGGGGCAUUGCCUUUACGGGAAGCUCAAGGGGUCGGGGGAUUUCCCUUUCCUAGCCAAGGGAAGCCGUGAGAGACUGUACCCGGAGGAAAGGUACACUCUGGCCCAGAUACUGCAUUUUUCCCAGUCUUCACAACCGGCAGACCAGCAGAUUCCCUGUGGCGCCUGGCUCAUCAGGUCCAACCCCCACGGAGCCCAGCAAGCUAACACCCAUUGGCUUGAAAUUCUCACUGCUAGCUCAGCAGUCUGAGCUCGACCUGGGAUGCUCGAACAUUGUUUUCUACGGGGGGAGUGCAUCCUCAGCCUCCAACCACUGACUUAAAAACAAAAACCAUAAACAUAGUGAGUCUCGUAUAAAAACAACUUCCCAAGACGUUGGUUCAACAAGAUGUUAAUUGGUGGUGUAAGAGAAAGGAGUUAGUCAAAUACACUUGUGAAACAUUGCAAAUGACUGGAAGAUUCAUAAAGGUUCUAUGCUUUGCAGUAAACUCAUUUCUCUCAGUUAUUUUCCCCAAUCUAGAGUGUGGUUGCCUCUUGCUGACAGAGAAAUUCAGUGUCUGCUCCUUUGAUUCAGGUGCAACUUGAGGACAACUGCCCCUGGGGAGGAGAAACUGGUUCCAGUUAGGGCUGGCUUUUUACUCUCUUCCUGGGCAGGCAGGACUGCCUGACUAGUAUGUCUUUAACUGUAAGUAAGUUUUGGGUAUCUUUGUAUGUUGAAAUCCUAGUAUAGAGUUUUAUGAAUAUCCCUUAUUGGGUUAGUGAAGCUUGUUCCCAUGGCAGCCUUGGACAACUCUGAUCACAAGUGUGAAUGGUAACAAAGUGAGACCAUGAAAGGGAGCUUUCCUGGCUCUGACAAGCAGUUACUUCCCAGAAAUGCUUGAGCUCAACUUCUCUCCAAGAACGCCUGAGUUUUGUAAGCAUAUUCCAAAGACAUUUUAUAGCUUCCUUAUUACAUAUUUUACUUAGUUAAAUAUUAAAUGUCCUGACUCAGGAAAUUCUUCCAGGAUGUCAUAAAAAAAGACCUUUAGAUACUUUCUUAGAUGGCACAGCAGGCACCCCAAACUAAAAUGUCAUAAAUGUGAAAUGAAGUGGCAGAAGUAGAAACCAUAUCAUAAAAACACGGAAACUAAAAAUGACACGAUGUAUCCAUAGUAUGAAAGAGCACUAACUGAACGUGGGUGCUUUGGGUUUGAUUCUAAGUAGUGGUGAUCUCUAUACUUCAGUUUCUGUACCUGUGAAGUGGGGAUAAGAGUGUCUACCUCAUAGGGUGGUGCUAAAUAAAGUACACCAAGCACUUAGUAUAGCUUCUAGUACGAAGAAGAUACUUGAACAUAGCUGUUAAUUAUUUUAAAGAGAAGGUUAAUGGUCUUGGAAAGAGAUGAAUCGGAGGAUUCAGAUUUGUUAGAUGGAGCUCUUGCCCAUUAAAGGAGUUUACAAGUUUCUAGCUGUUGAGUUCUAUGCAUGAGUUUUCUUCUCUUUUUAAAUAGAUUUUUAUGUUUUGAGAGAAAGAUAUUGGAAGUUGAAAGGCUGACACAGUAGACCAUCACAUUACUAAAUAUUUGUUGAAUUGGAGAAGAUGAUUAAAAGCACAGGCCUUUCGGGCAUAGUAGCUCAUGCUUGUAAUCCCAGAAUUUUGGGAGGCCAAGGCGGGAAGACUGAGCCCAGAGGUUCGAGACCAGCUGGGCAACAUAGGGAGACCCCAUCUGUACAAAUAAUUAGCCGAAUGUGGUGGCACAUGCCUGUGGUCCCAGCUACUUGGGAGGAUCGCCUGAGCCCUGGAGUUUGAGACUGCAGUAAGGCAUGAUCGCACCACUGUUCUCCAGUCUGGGUGACAAAGUGAGGCACUGUCUCAAAAUAAAAACGCACAGGCCUUUGACUCAGAGUUCCAAUGAUGGCUCCUCCAAGGAAGAAUUGUGUGACCUUGGGCGACCUAGUGAACCAUACUGAGCCAGUCUUGUUAGAAAGGGUGCUCAGAGUGGAAAGGUAUGAUCUCGUAGGAAAAAAGACAUCAAGAUUAGUGGGUAGGAAUAAAACCAAGUUACUAAAUCCAGAAAGAACUGCAAUCAGCUAGGCCCUGGGAGAAAAGCAAAACAGGGAAAGAGGGCAGAAAUGCAGAAAGGCUCCUCUGGUCUUUCUUUUGAUCACAAAAGUGAGGGGUGCCAGAAACACAGAGUUAAAUUGUCCACCAAAGACCCACCGUUAAUUCUCUGCUCUUGAUUGCCCUGGAAACCAGAAUCCAGCCCUACUGCCAGUGAAAUCUUAACUGGGACACCACCUAUAAAAGAAAUGGUAGCAACUAGAGGCACAGGCUGACUUAGUGUGACCACCUCCACUCAGGAGGGUCUGGGGAUGAGUUCAGGAGGGAGUCACAAAGAGAAGGAAUUUAGAUUAUGUAAAAGCCAUGCUCUAUGGAAGCCCAUGGAGUUUGUAAUUCAUAGAUGCACAUCCGUAUUUUCUCUCACCCAUUUUUGUGAACACUUCUACCUGGCAGGAGCCCGCUCUCACUCUGGUGCUCUGGGUAAGCUGCUGAGACAGCUCUGUGCAGAGACCUCCAGCCCCCUUGAGUUGAGGCCACAUGACUAAGCUCUGGCCAGUAGAAUACUGGUGGACAUGGUGUGCACACAGGGCAGGUCCUUUAAGAAGGAAACUGCACGAUGCUUUUCUACCUCCAUUGGGCUGGACUUGGUAGUAGUGGUGAGUCAGGUUUGAUUACAAUGGGCUGGGACCACAUGUUGGGAGGUCAGUGGGUUGGCAUCCUUCAUGGUUGCGGAGCAAGCUUAUUCAAGAAGGCUUCACCCUUUGCCCUCUCCACAUGUCUCUGUAUUGCUUCACAAAACACUGUGGAAGAGAUGGCCCUUUUGCAUGUCUUUAAGAAGCCAGUUGGCCAGGUACGGUGGUUCGUGCCCAUAAUCCCAGCACUUUGGGAGGCUGAGGCAGGAGGAUCGUUUGAUCCCAGGAGUUUGAGAUCAGCCUCUCUCUGUCUCACAGACGGCCAUCAAUAGAGUGGAUACCACCCUUAUACAGACCUCUGUCUCUCUCUCAUCUACAACUAAAGCUUGAACACCUCUGCCCUAGGGUACACAGUCAGGCCUUCUCAUUUAGUUCCUGGUUACCUAAAACCUUUGAAGGGAUGUCACAUUUUUAUACUGUGUUUGAUACUGCUAUACACGUUGCUGUUUGUGCACAUGAACACCCCUUAUUUCAAACAGGAUGGCAAGUUCCAGAAGGUGGGGGUGGCCCCUUGAUCUUCUGUAUGUUGUUUCCUAGUGCCUCCUGAAGUGGUCAUAUUUGCUUAACUGCACAGUGAACAAAAUGGCAGGCCAGGCUAGAUCCAGAGACUGGAGGAAACCCAAGUUAGUGUCUUAAAGGGAAAAAAGACAUUUUUCUGAAGACUUUUUAAUUAGGAAAAAAAGGGAAAUGUUUUUAUCCCAGAUUUUUCUGGUAGUCCCCAUGUUGAAUUUCUAAAUAUAUACAAAUAAGUUUAAGAUAAACCACUAUUUCUCCAAACUUUUCUUAAUAGUGUCAGCAUUUCAGCAUCUCUACGCAGAUCUAAGUCUCCUUCCCCUGUGGGUCACUCACCUAUUUCAGCACCAUUUGUUGGGCAUCUCCUUGAGCCUGGCGCUGGCUGGGCACACGAUGUAGGCGCUAAGGUCUGUGAUUUCCAUGGAUGAGGGUGCUAUUCGUGGGGGAUUUAACUCAGUCCCUGUUUUGUGGCCUAGAGCCCGAUGGUUCCCAGUUAUACACAAGUGUAAAAUGCCAAUCAGGAGGAAAAACAAAGGCUUGUCCCAGCCAGCCAGGGGCUUAUGAUAACAAGGGAAGAUGGUCCUGGUGUUCCUGCCCUGAGAAAGCAGCCUGAGUGCUGGUGGCUGUGGGGACUCCAGCAUGCUCCUCUGUCCCAGUUCUUGUGGUGUCUUCCUCCCACUGUGGGGAGUCCAGGAAUGUGGAAGUACUUUGUAAAAUAUAUAGAGACCACUGGUGUCAACAGGAUUACCUUUCCUCGAUUCACCGCAUCAUGGCUUUACUUUCCUGUCUAGUCACAACAUGGAACUGAAGUAGCCUUUUAACAUUAUUUGUUACUGUUACAGAAUGGAGUUUGCUCCCUGUUCUUGAAGUAAAACAAUUAAACACCGUAUCUUGGUUUCAAAUCUAGAUCCAUUUUUUUUCCUUAUAUGUAAGCCCUGAUAAUUUUUUCCCAUGACUUGAGGAUCCUGAAAGACUCAAAGGUGUAUGCUGCUCAAACUCUUUAAGUUCCCAGUAGCUUAAGAAUGGCUAUGGCACCCAGAGGAGGAGAGGUAGAGAAAUGGCAGUCUCUACUUACAACCAUUCCAUUAUUGAUGGGCAUUACACUGUUUCCAACUUUUCACUAUUAUGGCAAGAAAACAUUGUUUUAGUUUGUUAGGGCUGCCGUGACAAAGUACCACAAACUGAGUGGCUUAAACAGCGAAAUGUAUUGCCUCACAGUUUUGGAGGUUGGAAGUCCAAGACCAAGGUGGGCAGGGUUGGUUCCUUGUGAGGGAGAAUGUGUUCCAGGCCUCUCUCCUGGGCUUGUGAAUGGCUGUCUUCUCCCUGCCUUUUCACAUGGUCUUUCCUCUGCAUGUUGGUCUCUGUGUCCAAAUUUCCCCUUUUCAUCACAACACCAUUAUAUUGGAUUAAGACCCACUCUAAUGACUUCAUUUUAAUUAAUUUUGUUUGUUUGCUCCAUAAAGACUCUGUUUCCAAAUAAGGUCAUAUUGUGAGGUACUGGUAGCUGGGACUCCAGCAUCUUCUUUGGAGGCACACAAUUCAACCCAUAACAAAUGUCAUAAAAGAAGAAGGUGUUCGCCGAUUCCUUUAUUUAUUUAGGAGGUGGGGGCAGGACGCGGAGUAAGUUUCCUAUAGGGAAAGAGUUGAGAAGAGUCUGCAGGGACUGAGCUAGACAGCAUUGACACUCCGUAGUUGGAAAAAAGCAGGGCACAUCUGUAAGUACCUGGUGUGAGUUUUGUAAGAAAACCUACCUUAUGAAUGAGUACAGUGGAAUACUACUUAGUACAUUCAUACAUGUUUCUACCAUCUCCAGAUUUUUAUAUAUACAGUAUAUGAUCUGUUUUUAUAAAUGUA
Long non-coding RNA from Pongo pygmaeus (Bornean orangutan), 5947 nucleotides. RefSeq lists it as uncharacterized. The transcript is spliced from 2 exons. The record is from RefSeq and is a predicted model, not a curated record. Lineage: Eukaryota; Metazoa; Chordata; Mammalia; Primates; Hominidae.